RNAcentral lists this unclassified non-coding RNA (145 nucleotides) under uncultured fungus. RNAcentral describes it as "sequence contains ITS1, 5.8S rRNA gene". The record is from RNAcentral. Lineage: Eukaryota; Fungi.
CCAGAGAUGGCGGGCCCCCGCGCCCCCGUCCCCAACCCUUUGUUGACCGCCCCACUUUUGCCUCGGGGGCAGAGCGGCCCUCCGCCGCCCCCGGUGGACCACUUAACACUGUCUCUGUACGUCGGAGUCUUUGAUAAAUAAAUGA